Molecule: transfer RNA, 71 nt
Filed under: Bos taurus (domestic cattle)
Lineage: Eukaryota; Metazoa; Chordata; Mammalia; Artiodactyla; Bovidae
Also listed under: 5 other names
Rfam family: tRNA
About the family: Transfer RNA (tRNA) molecules are approximately 80 nucleotides in length.
Source: Rfam by way of RNAcentral
UCCCUGGUGGCUCAGUGGUAAAGAAUCUGCCUGCCAAGUAGGGAAUACAGGUUCAAUCCCUGGUCUGGGAA